This 253-nucleotide ribosomal RNA is filed under the name uncultured bacterium. RNAcentral's name for it is "partial 16S ribosomal RNA". It matches the Rfam family "Bacterial small subunit ribosomal RNA", at positions 524 to 776 of the family's 1533-position model. The record is from RNAcentral.
UACGGAGGGUGCAAGCGUUAAUCGGAAUUACUGGGUGUAAAGCGUGCGUAGGUGGUUCGUUAAGUCCGUUGUGAAAGCCCCGAGCUCAACUUGGGAAUUGCAGUGGAUACUGGCGAGCUGGAGUGCGGUAGAGGAAGGUGGAAUUCCCGGUGUAGCGGUGAAAUGCGUAGAGAUCGGGAGGAACACCAGUGGCGAAGGCGAGUCCCUGGACAACACCUGACACUGAGGCACGAAAGCUAGGGGAGCAAACAGG